This 261-nucleotide ribosomal RNA is filed under the name uncultured bacterium. RNAcentral's name for it is "partial 16S ribosomal RNA". It matches the Rfam family "Bacterial small subunit ribosomal RNA", at positions 793 to 1055 of the family's 1533-position model. The record is from RNAcentral.
GUCCACGCCGUAAACGGUGAGCACUAGGUGUAGCGGGUAUUGACCCCUGCUGUGCCGCAGCUAACGCAUUAAGUGCUCCGCCUGGGGAGUACGGUCGCAAGAUUAAAACUCAAAGGAAUUGACGGGGGCCCGCACAAGCGGUGGAGCAUGUGGUUUAAUUCGAUGCAACGCGCAGAACCUUACCUGGGCUUGAAAUCACCCGGACAGCCGUGGAAACACGGUCUCCUUCGGGCUGGGUGACAGGUGCUGCAUGGCUGUCGU